AUUGAACGCUGGCGGCAUGCCUUACACAUGCAAGUCGAACGGUAACAGGUCUUCGGAUGCUGACGAGUGGCGAACGGGUGAGUAAUACAUCGGAACGUGCCUAGUAGUGGGGGAUAACUAAUCGAAAGAGUGGCUAAUACCGCAUGAGAUCUACGGAUGAAAGCAGGGGAUCGCAAGACCUUGUGCUACUAGAGCGGCCGAUGGCAGAUUAGGUAGUUGGUGGGAUAAAAGCUUACCAAGCCGACGAUCUGUAGCUGGUCUGAGAGGACGAUCAGCCACACUGGGACUGAGAAACGGCCCAGACUCCUACGGGAGGCAGCAGUGGGGAAUUUUGGACAAGGGGCGCAAGCCUGAUCCAGCAAUGCCGCGUGCAGGAUGAAGGCCUUCGGGUUGUAAACUGCUUUUGUACGGAACGAAAAGCCCCGGGUUAAUACCCUGGGGUCAUGACGGUACCGUAAGAAUAAGCACCGGCUAACUACGUGCCAGCAGCCGCCGUAA
Molecule: ribosomal RNA, 498 nt
Filed under: uncultured bacterium
Lineage: Bacteria
Description: partial 16S ribosomal RNA
Rfam family: Bacterial small subunit ribosomal RNA
Source: RNAcentral